Molecule: ribosomal RNA, 492 nt
Filed under: uncultured bacterium
Lineage: Bacteria
Description: partial 16S ribosomal RNA
Rfam family: Bacterial small subunit ribosomal RNA
Source: RNAcentral
AGUGGACGCUGGCGGUAGGCCUAACACAUGCAAGUCGAACGGCAGCACAGUAAGAGCUUGCUCUUACGGGUGGCGAGUGGCGGACGGGUGAGGAAUACAUCGGAAUCUACUUUUUCGUGGGGGAUAACGUAGGGAAACUUACGCUAAUACCGCAUACGACCUACGGGUGAAAGCAGGGGAUCUUCGGACCUUGCGCGAUUGAAUGAGCCGAUGUCGGAUUAGCUAGUUGGCGGGGUAAAGGCCCACCAAGGCGACGAUCCGUAGCUGGUCUGAGAGGAUGAUCAGCCACACUGGAACUGAGACACGGUCCAGUCUCCUACGGGAGGCAGCAGUGGGGAAUAUUGGACAAUGGGCGCAAGCCUGAUCCAGCCAUACCGCGUGGGUGAAGAAGGCCUUCGGGUUGUAAAGCCCUUUUGUUGGGAAAGAAAAGCAGCAGGUUAAUACCCCGCUGUUCUGACGGUACCCAAAGAAUAAGCACCGGCUAACUUCGUG